GACGAACGCUGGCGGCGUGCUUAACACAUGCAAGUCGAACGGAAAGGCCCUGCUUUUGUGGGGUGCUCGAGUGGCGAACGGGUGAGUAACACGUGAGUAACCUGCCCUUGACUUUGGGAUAACUUCAGGAAACUGGGGCUAAUACCGGAUAGGAGCUCCUGCUGCACGGUGGGGGUUGGAAAGUUUCGGCGGUUGGGGAUGGACUCGCGGCUUAUCAGCUUGUUGGUGGGGUAGUGGCUUACCAAGGCUUUGACGGGUAGCCGGCCUGAGAGGGUGACCGGCCACAUUGGGACUGAGAGACGGCCCAGACUCCUACGGGCGGCAGCAGUGGGGAAUAUUGCACAAUGGGCGGAAGCCUGAUGCAGCAACGCCGCGUGCGGGAUGACGGCCUUCGGGUUGUAAACCGCUUUCGCCUGUGACGAAGCGUGAGUGACGGUAAUGGGUAAAGAAGCACCGGCUAACUACGUG
RNAcentral lists this ribosomal RNA (468 nucleotides) under uncultured bacterium. RNAcentral describes it as "partial 16S ribosomal RNA". It matches the Rfam family "Bacterial small subunit ribosomal RNA", at positions 28 to 507 of the family's 1533-position model. The record is from RNAcentral.